GAUGAACGCUGGCGGCGUGCCUAAUACAUGCAAGUCGAGCGGUAAGGCCCCUUCGGGGGUACACGAGCGGCGGACGGCUGAGUAACACGUAGGAACGUACCCCAAAGUGAGGGAUAAGCACCAGAAAUGGUGUCUAAUACCGCAUGUGCUCUAAGGAGUAAAGCUUCGGCGCUUUGGGAACGGCCUGCGCAUGAUUAGCUUGUUGGUGAGGUAAUGGCUCACCAAGGCGACGAUCAUUAGCUGGUCUGAGAGGAUGACCAGCCAGACUGGGACUGAGAACGGCCCAGACUCCUACGGGAGGCAGCAGUAGGGAAUUUUCCACAAUGGGCGAAAGCCUGAUGGAGCAACGCCGCGUGCAGGAUGAAUGCCUUCGGGUUGUAAACUGCUUUUAUAUGUGACGAAUAUGACGGUAGCAUAUGAAUAAGGAUCGGCUAACUCCGUGCCAGCCGCCGCGGUAA
RNAcentral lists this ribosomal RNA (458 nucleotides) under uncultured bacterium. Its description in RNAcentral is "partial 16S ribosomal RNA". It matches the Rfam family "Bacterial small subunit ribosomal RNA", at positions 28 to 523 of the family's 1533-position model. The record is from RNAcentral.